AGUGAGCGCUGGCGGUAGGCCUAACACAUGCAAGUCGAACGGCAGCACAGUAAGAGCUUGCUCUUACGGGUGGCGAGUGGCGGACGGGUGAGGAAUACAUCGGAAUCUACUUUUUCGUGGGGGAUAACGUAGGGAAACUUACGCUAAUACCGCAUACGACCUACGGGUGAAAGCAGGGGAUCUUCGGACCUUGCGCGAUUGAAUGAGCCGAUGUCGGAUUAGCUAGUUGGCGGGGUAAGGGCCCACCAAGGCGACGAUCCGUAGCUGGUCUGAGAGGAUGAUCAGCCACACUGGAACUGAGACACGGUCCAGACUCCUACGGGAGGCAGCAGUGGGGAAUAUUGGACAAUGGGCGCAAGCCUGAUCCAGCCAUACCGCGUGGGUGAAGAAGGCCUUCGGGUUGUAAAGCCCUUUUGUUGGGAAAGAAAAGCAGCAGGUUAAUACCCCGCUGUUCUGACGGUACCCAAAGAAUAAGCACCGGCUAACUUCGUG
This 492-nucleotide ribosomal RNA is filed under the name uncultured bacterium. RNAcentral describes it as "partial 16S ribosomal RNA". It matches the Rfam family "Bacterial small subunit ribosomal RNA", at positions 29 to 507 of the family's 1533-position model. The record is from RNAcentral.